CUGUAGGCACCAUCAAUCAAGGGCG
This 25-nucleotide non-coding RNA is filed under the name Gossypium hirsutum (cotton). Lineage: Eukaryota; Viridiplantae; Streptophyta; Magnoliopsida; Malvales; Malvaceae. The record is from RNAcentral.